AAAUAAGCUUAUUGUAUAAACAUCAUAUAAAAAUUAAACAUAGCAUUUACAAAACUAGUAGUAUAAGUCUACAAUACAUUACUGGAAACUCUUGGGACUACAUGUAUUUGGGUAUUUAAUUAUUUUCAGAUUUCAUAAAUGUAAUACUUACAUUAUAUAACAUACUCAGUAGGGUAAUGGCAAUACUAUGUAGCAAAAUGUUAAUGUUUUAUAGCAAAGCAUCACACCAAGUGGGAUUAAGAAAGAUAAACUUCAUUUUUGUUUGGGUCAGAUUCUACCAUUAGAUAGAUUUGCUGUGAACUAUUGAAGAAAUUGAAAUCUUUGGAUUUAGGAAUUGCAGAUAAGGGAUUGUGAACCUAUAAUCAUAUGUUUUUCUACAAGAAUUUAAUGCAAUAUUUCUCCAAAAUUUGUUUAUCUAGUGUAUUAUAUCUAGUCCGUUUCUUUGUAGUAGCUGUUGUUUUUAUUUCCAAUUGGAAGUUCUAACUCAUAAUUGAGGUUGUUGGGAAUGAUAGAACUAUUUAUUUGUGUAAUUAUAUCCUUCAUUGUUAUAUACAUCAAUUAGUUCAUAAUCACUAAUUACAUGUUUUUCCCAGUCCACAUGUGUGGCAAAACAAUGCUCAUGUUUACCAUACCAUUUCCUCUUCCUAAGUGCACAGGAAGACUAUAUUUCCCAGCAUCCACAGCCAUUACCUUUGGAGAACAUGACAUUGCCAGAUAAUAGAGUAUAGAUGAAAAUGAGGGGAGCCAUUUUGAAGACGAGCUCUGAAAAACAUCCCAUGUGACACUUCAACUCUCAUUUCCUUUCCCAUAGAAAUCCUGGAUACCAUGUGCUCCAGAUCAUUUGGUAUACAGGAUGGAGGAAGACUGACCUGUGAUCUUCCCUGCUCCAGGAUUUACUUCAGAGCACCAGGAUCUUUUUUGGCCCAGUCACAACAAAAGCCCAGGAGUACAGAAGAGUUAAUGCCCCCUGGAGCAACUCAGCUACAGGAUGGGGCUCGACAAGAAAUGUGUGGAGUAGCAACAUCCCCAUCAUCUCCACGGUGGGCAGACUUGGUUCUGUUUUCAGAACCAAGUGCAGGUGAGCCUGUGCAUGUGAGAGGGUUCAAAUGUCCAUGAUAGACAUACCUGAAGUGUGAAUUCCACUGAAAAAUUGAAGGGA
Long non-coding RNA from Mustela lutreola (European mink), 1159 nucleotides. RefSeq lists it as uncharacterized. Lineage: Eukaryota; Metazoa; Chordata; Mammalia; Carnivora; Mustelidae. The transcript is spliced from 3 exons. The record is from RefSeq and is a predicted model, not a curated record.